AUUUAAAUAGUUUAUUAAAAAUAUUGAUUUGUGGGAUCAAAGAAGUAAGAUAUUAUUUUAAAUA
Molecule: transfer RNA, 64 nt
Filed under: Ochthebius sp. IBE<ESP> AN292
Lineage: Eukaryota; Metazoa; Arthropoda; Insecta; Coleoptera; Hydraenidae
Description: tRNA-His
Source: RNAcentral